Pelobates cultripes (western spadefoot toad) is the source of this 110-nucleotide non-coding RNA. NCBI's taxonomy places the organism in Eukaryota, Metazoa, Chordata, Amphibia, Anura, Pelobatidae. The record is from the annotation of a GenBank genome assembly.
CUCCAGCAGACCCUCCCUCCCAGACCCUUCUACUUCCUGGACAGCAUCCAUGUUGAAACAUGGAUGCUGUCCAGGAAGUAGAAGGGUCUGGGAGGGAGGGUCUGCUGGAG